Long non-coding RNA from Acinonyx jubatus (cheetah), 2394 nucleotides. RefSeq lists it as uncharacterized. The transcript is spliced from 3 exons. NCBI's taxonomy places the organism in Eukaryota, Metazoa, Chordata, Mammalia, Carnivora, Felidae. The record is from RefSeq and is a predicted model, not a curated record.
AGAGAGAGAUUCUCAAGUAGGCUCCACAUCCAGUGCAGAGCCUGAUGCAGGGAUUGAUCCCAAGAUCAAGGUCAAGAUCAUGACCUGACCCCAAAUCAAGAUUCAGUUGCUCAACCGAUCGAGCCACCCAGGUGCCCCUCGAGUUUAGUUUUGUUUAAAAUUGGAAACAACCAGGACACCUUGGCGGCUUAGUCAACUGAGCGUCCGACCUCGGCUCAGGUCAUGAUCUCGUGGUUCGUAAGUUCAAUCCCCGCAUCGGGCUCGCUGCUGUCAGCGCAGAGCCUGCUUCAGAGUCUCUGUCCCCCUCUCGCUCUGCCCUUCCCCCUUUUGUGCUCUCUUUUCAAAAAUAAAUAAACAUUUACAAGAAGUAACAUUUGAAACGACCAAAGAGUGUGAACUGCGAGAUGUUAUGUUUUUGCUUAGUGAGUAUUUUAGUUCAUGCUUGAAAUAGUUAACUGGAUUUGAAUGAUGUGUUUGUAUACAUAUGUUUACAUAGAUACAUUUUAAGUAGGCUUCAUGCCUAGUGAAGGGCCCAGCACAGGGCUUGGACUCAUGACCUUGAGGUCAAGACCUGAGCUGAGAUCGGGUUGGAUGCUUAACCAACUGCACCACCCAGGCGCCCCUUGAAUAAAAUGUUUUGAAUUGACACUUAUUUUUUUAAUUGUUUUAAAAAGAACAAAAUCCAGAAAGUGGUUUUUAUCAAUAAAUUGUAUCUUUGGCUGACGUUGUAGUCUUAUUAACAUCCUCUUGUUAGUUACUGGAUAAUUGUUUACAUAAAUUAUUAUUAUAUCAGACCAUAACCAAAGGAUUAGAGUUCAAGCUGCUGGGCAUGUAUAAACACCAUUAUACAAAUCGUUGUGCUUUUGUGUCCUAUAGGAACUUGGAGUAACUUACAAUGUGUGAUAGUAUUGUGAGACCAGCAACUGGUUCAUAGUCAUAAAGGUGUUCUGGAGAAAUUUCAAGUGGGGCACCCGCACCAACCUAAAAUGGCAAGAGUUCAGUGGUGCUCCAUAGAGAAAAGGGAGAAGAACAAAGGAGGAGGCAAAUGAAACAAUGUCUGGAUAGGUUAAAAGUACAUAAUGCUUUCAAAAUCGCGUGUCGUUAACGGGGAUUCUGAAGAAAUGACACAUGGCCUGUCCAGCACACCUAUAAUAUUGUUAUUCGUUGUGUUUCGUGAUUUUUACAGAAAACAAUUUUGGUGUUUGGAAGACGAUUGAGUUUAAAAGUGACCUGUUGGGGGCACCUGGGUGGCCCAGUCGGUUAAGCGUCCGACUCUUGGUCUCAGCCCGGGUCGUGAUCUCGCGCAGUUGGGAGGCUGAAUUUUCCUAAGAGUACGAAUCAAGCGGCUCCUCUACCUGUAAAACGGGGAAUUCGCCUGGUGUGCAUUGGGAUCUAAAGGGAUCUCUGGGAUGUUGUGGCUGGAGAGAGACACAUGUGGAUGGUGUUGGACACUGGAUUUGUCCAUCAGAGCUCAAGCAGUCAGAAGUCACUGUGGAAGGACCAUGGGGGAUAAUUUAAGGAGCUCCAAGACCCCAUCUCACGGCCGGGUAAGGCCAAUGCCAACUUUACAGAAAGAUAGAAGAUGCUUAUAUUUAUUUAAUCACCGCAAAUGUCACUAUUAUCACAGAUGACAUUAAUUUUUAAGAGAAAAGGAAGAAAAUAUGUUACAUUUCUGUUUUGUGCAUAUGCUGAUUGAAUGAAAAGUUUAUGCCAGAUGCCAACUUAAAAUAAGGACAUAUAAAUAUUUAAUUGUUUGUAUGUAUAUGUACAUUUCUGUAUACACAAUAUGUGUCACACGGAACACUGGCUCCCAACUAGGGGCCGAUGUUGCUUCCCAGGGGACAUCUGGCAAUGUCUGGAGACAUUUUUGGCCGUUCCAGCGGGGGGAGAGAGAAUGCCACUAAUAUCAAGUGGGUAGAGGCCGGGAACGCUGCUAAACACCUUGCGAUACACGGGGCAGCCCGAAUCUGGCUCAGACGUCAGUAUUGCUGAGGCUGAGAUCCCAGCGUGGGGAGAUGCGUGGAGUACAGGGACCUUUCUUCAGUGUAUCAUUGACACAUCUCCUUGACUUAUUUAACAUCCCUGUCUCGAUGGACUUAUCUAGAAAAAAAACCCCACAAAUCACAAGCCGGGGGGGGGGGGGUUCCUCAUGGCCCCUGUGAGACACAGCCUCUGUACUCUUAGGAAUACACUUGGAGGCAGGCGCCUCCGUCCUGCUGGUUUCUCCUGAUGACAACUGUUGACCGGUACCUAACGUCGUGUGUGGCUCACCUGGCUGGAAGCCCCACCUGUAGAAAGGGAAAGGGAGAGGCAAGGUGGGGAACUGGAGAGGAGGGGGCAAGUCAUUUUAGAGCUUUAUGAAGCCCUGAGUAUUAGCACGUCCUUUCAAUCACU